Molecule: ribosomal RNA, 495 nt
Filed under: uncultured bacterium
Lineage: Bacteria
Description: partial 16S ribosomal RNA
Rfam family: Bacterial small subunit ribosomal RNA
Source: RNAcentral
GACGAACGCUGGCGGCGUGCCUAAUACAUGCAAGUAGAACGCUGAAGGAGGAGCUUGCUUCUCUGGAUGAGUUGCGAACGGGUGAGUAACGCGUAGGUAACCUGCCUGGUAGCGGGGGAUAACUAUUGGAAACGAUAGCUAAUACCGCAUAAUAGUAGAUGUUGCAUGACAUUUGCUUAAAAGGUGCAAUUGCAUCACUACCAGAUGGACCUGCGUUGUAUUAGCUAGUUGGUGAGGUAACGGCUCACCAAGGCGACGAUACAUAGCCGACCUGAGAGGGUGAUCGGCCACACUGGGACUGAGACACGGCCCAGACUCCUACGGGAGGCAGCAGUAGGGAAUCUUCGGCAAUGGACGGAAGGCUGACCGAGCAACGCCGCGUGAGUGAAGAAGGUUUUCGGAUCGUAAAGCUCUGUUGUAAGAGAAGAACGAGUGUGAGAGUGGAAAGUUCACACUGUGACGGUAUCUUACCAGAAAGGGACGGCUAACUACGUG